Molecule: long non-coding RNA, 736 nt
Filed under: Marmota monax (woodchuck)
Lineage: Eukaryota; Metazoa; Chordata; Mammalia; Rodentia; Sciuridae
Source: RNAcentral
GCAGAAACUAAGACAAUUGGAUUGCAUUUCUGACACCUUCUUCUAAUCUUGUCCUCCCCCAUAACCUGGUGUCUCUCAUUAGAACUUCUGUCCAUCUUCAUGAGUUCCAUGCCCAGUUGAAUACCAGCAUUUUCACCUGACUGUUGCAACUGUGCCUCCUGUACCCAGAUCUGUCACCCUCCUUUCCUUUUUGCACAACAGCCAAACUGAUUUUCCAAAGCACAAGACCUAUCGUUCCUCUGCUUUGAUGCUUUUAAUGAAGCAGUCUGCAAGCUCUUUAGACUGUGACUCACAAUGAGAAGUAAAUUUAACAUCACCACCCAACAAGUAUAUAUAUAUAUAAACAAACUUUGCAUUUUUCUAUUCAGUCUUAUCCUAUUCUAUUAUGGUCUCUUUUGUUGAAAAAGUAGUGCUGGCAGAAACCCAAUAAAAGUGAUUUCAGAGCUAACUAAUAGAUGAGAGCCUACAGUGGGAAAAACUUUGCUUUUUAGGAUUUUUUACCUCUACACUGAGCAUGAUGGAGCUUCUCAUGCUCUGUUCCCUGCUCAUCUGGGUAGCCCCGUCGUGUCCCCUGUAAUUUGAUGCCCCCCCCCCACUUCUGAACCUCUUAGUGUCCCAGGGCAAUACUGUUCUCCUUUUCCUUUGUCCCUACUCUCUACACUCCACACCCCCUCUAGCAGGUUAAUCCUUCCAGUGCCAGCUUUAAUGUCACUUCCUGCAGGAGGUGUAACCCUAG